RNAcentral lists this ribosomal RNA (419 nucleotides) under bacterium. Its description in RNAcentral is "partial 16S ribosomal RNA". It matches the Rfam family "Bacterial small subunit ribosomal RNA", at positions 355 to 776 of the family's 1533-position model. The record is from RNAcentral.
UGGGGGAUAUUGCACAAUGGGCGAAAGCCUGAUGCAGCGACGCCGCGUGGGGGAUGAAGGCCUUCGGGUUGUAAACUUCUUUUGCUCUGAACAAGGCAUGCUAAUGGGUGUGUUGAGUGUAGGGGUUGAUUAGCGCCGGCUAACUACGUGCCAGCAGCCGCGGUAAUACGUAGGGCGCGAGCGUUGUCCGGAAUUAUUGGGCGUAAAGGGCUUGUAGGUGGCUGGUUGCGUCUGUCGUGAAAGCUCAUGGCUUAACUGUGGGUUUGCGGUGGGUACGGGCUGGCUUGAGUGCAGUAGGGGAGGCUGGAAUUCCUGGUGUAGCGGUGGAGUGCGCAGAUAUCAGGAGGAAUACCGGUGGCGAAGGCGGGUCUCUGGGCUGUUACUGACACUGAGGAGCGAAAGCAUGGGGAGCGAACAGG